Molecule: ribosomal RNA, 240 nt
Filed under: uncultured Lactobacillus sp.
Lineage: Bacteria; Bacillati; Bacillota; Bacilli; Lactobacillales; Lactobacillaceae
Description: partial 16S ribosomal RNA
Rfam family: Bacterial small subunit ribosomal RNA
Source: RNAcentral
UAACCUGCCCAAGAGAUCGGGAUAACACCUGGAAACAGAUGCUAAUACCGGAUAACAAUAGAUGAUGCCUAUCAACUGUUUAAAAGAUGGUUCUGCUAUCACUCUUGGAUGGACCUGCGGUGCAUUAGCUAGUUGGUAGGGUAACGGCCUACCAAGGCGAUGAUGCAUAGCCGAGUUGAGAGACUGAUCGGCCACAUUGGGACUGAGACACGGCCCAAACUCCUACGGGAGGCAGCAGUU